CACAAUACGAUGACACUCAGGCCUGGAGCGCGAGGGUGGAGGAGUCUGCCGGGAGGAGCACGGCUCUGUCUCACCCUCUCCUUGAGGCCGGGCCUUGCAGCAAGAGAGGCCCGUGGUCGGGAGUCCAGCAGUCCUGCUUCAAAUCCUGUCCUGCCACCCCUGAGUCUGGAGGGAGAAAGAUGAAGGGAAGAGCAUGCAAGCUGCGGGAACAGCAUUGCCCAAGGCAAGAGGGUGUGAGUGGGCUCU
RNAcentral lists this long non-coding RNA (246 nucleotides) under Dasypus novemcinctus (nine-banded armadillo). RNAcentral's name for it is "lncRNA (ENSDNOG00000049849.1)". Lineage: Eukaryota; Metazoa; Chordata; Mammalia; Cingulata; Dasypodidae. The record is from RNAcentral.